RNAcentral lists this ribosomal RNA (460 nucleotides) under uncultured bacterium. Its description in RNAcentral is "partial 16S ribosomal RNA". It matches the Rfam family "Bacterial small subunit ribosomal RNA", at positions 338 to 795 of the family's 1533-position model. The record is from RNAcentral.
CCUACGAGCGGCAGCAGUAAGGAAUAUUGGUCAAUGGACGAGAGUCUGAACCAGCAAAGUAGCGUGAAGGAUGACUGCCCUAUGGGUUUUAAACUUCUUUUAUAUGGGAAUAAAAUGUUCCACGUGUGGGAUUUUGUAUGUCCCAUCUGGAUAAGGAUCGGCUACCUCCGUGCCAGCAGCCGCGGUAAUACGGAGGAUCCGAGCGUUAUCCGGAUUUAUUGUGUUUAAAGGGAGCGUAGGUGGAUUGUUAAGUCAGUUGUGAAAGUUUGCGGCUCAACCGUAAAAUUGUAAUUGAUACUGGCAGUCUGGAGUACAGUUGAGGUAGGCGGAAUUCGUGGUGUAGGGGUGAAAUGCUUAGAUAUCACGAAGAACUCCGAUUGCGAAGGCAGCUUACUAAACUGCCACUGACAUUGAUGCUCGAAAGUGUGGGUAUCAAACAGGAUUAGAUACCCCUGUAGUC